RNAcentral lists this ribosomal RNA (772 nucleotides) under uncultured Neocallimastigales. Its description in RNAcentral is "partial large subunit ribosomal RNA". It matches the Rfam family "Eukaryotic large subunit ribosomal RNA", at positions 23 to 634 of the family's 3401-position model. The record is from RNAcentral. Lineage: Eukaryota; Fungi; Neocallimastigomycota; Neocallimastigomycetes; Neocallimastigales.
AGAGAGAGACAUGCGCGCAUAUCAAUAAGCGGAGGAAAAGAAACUAACAAGGAUUCCCUUAGUAACGGCGAGUGAAGCGGGAAGAGCUCAAAUUUGAAAUCUUCAAGGUUUUACCUUGACGAAUUGUAGUUUAAAGAAGUGUUUUCUGCUGAAGUUUUGGUAAAAGUUCUUUGGAAUAGGACAUCAUAGAGGGUGAGAAUCCCGUAUUUGACCAUUAUUUCAGCUUUGUGAUACACUUUCAAAGAGUCGGAUUGUUUGGGAAUGCAGUCCAAAAUGGGUGGUAAAUUUCAUCUAAAGCUAAAUAUUGGCGAGAGACCGAUAGCGAACAAGUACCGUGAGGGAAGAUGAAAAGAACUUUGAAAAGAGAGUUAAACAGUACGUGAAAUUGUCAAAAGGGAAGCGUUUGACACCAGUGUUGUUUUCUCGAAAAUCAAUUAAAAAUGGCUCGAUUUUGUAUUGCUGAGACCUUAAAAGCUCACUGUACAUUUUUCGUGUCUUUUUUAAUGCACUUUUCGUUUAACAAGUCAACAUCAGUUUCUUUUGUUGUAAAAGGGUCAUUGGAAGGUGGCUUUCUUUUCGGAGAAAGUGUUUAUAGCCUUUGGCCUCUGCAAUCGGAGAGACUGAGGUCUGCAGCGUAGACUCUUCGGGGUUAGAUACACUUGUGCUAAGUUAUAGCUUUUUAUAGACAACUUGUUGACUAUAAUUAGUCUUGUAGCUUACUCGCUUAUGCUAUUUUACCUACGCUUAGGAUGUUGAGUCGUAGAGCACGCAG